UUGAAUCUCUGUCAGGCUUGCAACCCCACUCUGUGCUGCCCUGACCCUGCUGGAGGUUAUGACCUCGGGUUUGGGAACCGCUGGGAUAGACUGCCAGAUAGUCCUGCAGGGGAAGCGGUGAUAUGCCCCUUCCAGGCCAGGAUCAUCACAACAAAUGCCUUCAGAUCUCACAGUAAUUUGUAGGCCCUUGCCACCAGUUGGGGAUUGUAGCCUAUUAGAGCUGACAUGUCACUUUAGUACAUCAGGAACAUCUCGGAGAUCAAAAGGUCAUAGUCCUCCCACGCUGCUCGAGCCUUUCUUCAUGGAUGCUCCCCUGUCAUUUGGCUGGCAGUGAGCCCUGGCUCCCAGGCGGCGUGCUGACUGAGCCACGAGUGCUGCAUGCCUACCAGCUGCAGCUUCUGCCCCCCCACCUCUCCUUCGGCUUACUCUACUCUCAAAUCACCCCUUUCAAAACACUUUUCCCCAAACUCUCCUUGCCCGUGUCUCUCUUUGCUGAAAUCAUUAAAAGCUAUAUUCAAAGUAAUUAAAAGCUAUAUGGGGCAAUGCUGGCAGAGGUGUGCAAAGCCUUUUCCUGUAGUUUGUAAAAGUAUGAUUGUUACUCACAUACCUGUAGAUGCGAGCACAAUCUUCCAGAUGCAGGAUGCUGAUGGAAAAAUAAACAGUAGAUGGUCUCAUGGGGAUGUUGUGGUUUGUGAAAUGAAGGGCUUUGAUAAGACAUGCAAGCAGCUUUUGUAGUAUAAAAUGCAAACUUUAAGAUGGCCUAGUUUGAGGUUUUUGUGCUUUGUUUUACUGCAGUCUUAUAACAGGUUUAUAAACAACAACAAAAAUAGAUUUCAAAUGUGUUUUUCAAAAGUACUGUUUACCAGAAUGUAAAAUUGUGACAUUUUAAUAGCUAACUGAAUUGAUAGUCAAAGACCAGUGACUUCAUCCUAUACAGUCAUGGAAGUUAGUCUGUGGAAUCACUGUGUGAUCUGGCAAGGGUGGGGCCUGCAAAAGAUCUAUCCAAUAAGAUUCAUUCUGUGCCUAAAAUACCUCUUAUCCUGCAUCUGCGUUAGUAUUUGGAUUGAGAUCACUAACAUGGCUUUGAAGCGAGUCCUCAAUCACCUUUGCUUGCUGCAGGUUCGCAUGAUGUAACUCAACAACAUGGGUUCAGUGUAUGAAGUCAUUUAUAUCUGUAGAGUUCACCAUCUUUGCUUAUGGUCAGCUGCUGCCCAGUUCUCCCUUUCCUGAAGGAGCAUCUGCUGCUUAGUCGCCACUGUGACAAGUGUGCUGUGCACAUGUGAACUAAUGUGGAAUGAGGUGUAUGGAUCCCGAGAUGAGUCACAGAGGCAGAGGCCAACACACAGUGAUCUCCCUGGUAUUUACCAUGCAUGGUAUAGAUGUAUCGUGAGAAGAACCUGCCUUCUGUUAAAAUGAGUCUUCUGACUGGAUGGAAAAAUCCUAUGGGGGAGAGGAGACUAUAUCACGUUCAUGGGAUUCUGUGGAAGGGACCUGGAAAACAUAUUUUAGUGAGCUGUGAUUUUCCCUUUGGUAGGGAUAUCUUGCUUUUAUUACAGGUUAUAAAAGGUAUUUGUGUCCAGCAGGCCUGAAUAACUGAGAGCAAGCCAAAUGGCAUGUGACAGAAUAUCUCACUCAGCCAAUGCAAUUAGGGUGAUUUUGAGAUUAUUAUAGUUUCAGCCAAGAUUUGAUUAUUGUUCUUUUGCAUCAGUAUUUAAGGUGGGAGAAAUUCACCUGCAAUUUGCUGUAGUGAAUUAGAUGUAGUUCAAACAAAUGAAUAGGUUACUGUGCGUAUAAAACAGUGGAUUUUCAUCAGGCUUCAACAUGAUAAAGUAUUUCUUUUUUUAAUUAUGCUGAAAAUUUUUGCAACAGUAGUUUCCAUGAAGAAAAGUUUAUUCAAGUGAUGUGUUUCAUGGUGUUGUGUUUAGCCUGAUAAAAUAUAUGUCUUGAAGAUGAGAGGAAACUAGGCGGAGGUUCUUGGUCAGAACUAAACGUGUUACACAAAUUAACAUGUGGGUUAUUCUCUCUCUCUCUCUCUCUCCCUGCUUCCUACCACUCAAAAAAUGUUGUUUGUGAGGUCUUCCUUCUGCUAUAUUUUUGAAGAACAUAAUGAAAAUAAAAUUGUUUAGCUGUCAGCCCUAAUUCUUUCCUCCAUGUGAAAUUAUGUGGUGUUUGUCCUGCAUUUUGCACAGGUAUCUGUGGUAGUUGUGUACUAUAUUCUCAUCUCUUUUAUUAACAAUUGCCUGCUGGUGGUAGCCUUGCACAUAGCUGUGAGCAAUCUCUUCUCUCAGUAGUGCCAUUGAAAACGUUUGAGAGCUUGCUACCCAGUUUUGGCAGUUUAAUUACUAAUGAUGUGUUAUUGCUUCAAAAUUAAUAGCUGUUUCUCGUUAUGAUAAAGUUGCUUUAAACCUGCAAGCUUUUUUAAACUGAAUUUGUUGCUUCCUCUUUGCAGUGUGGUUUCCUCCUUUGGCACCUUUAGAACGUUGUGGUCCUGGGUGUUGCUGAGGUGACAUGUCAUAUUUACACUCUACUGGAAAAGACUGCGUCAUGGGCACUUGAAACUGUGGAGUUUUCUUAGUUCAGAUACUCAGAGUUGACUUCCUGUAGCCACAUGAUUGCUUAUUUUGAAUGCUAAAAUGUUCUUCUGUAUUGUUGUAUUUAACUUUGAAUCUAUACCUAUCAUCUUUUUAAUGCUAACACUGUGCUGCCUGUUGUAGAGUGAGCAGAAUGUUUCUUAUUUGUCUCCAUUACUUCUGCUUCCUUUUUGGUCUCCUCUCCAUCUCCAUGGCCACGAUUCCAUAUUGGUUUAAUUAUUGAGGCUUUUAAAGGAAUAAAACAAGGUCUAAGAUAUCAGCCUGUGUCUGUCAAAAAAAGACAGAAAGCAAGCUCUUUUUUACCUUUUUGGUAUUGUAACAUCUUCCAGUGCUGUGACUGGUGGUGUUCCGUAGAAACUCUUUAGGCCAGGGUCUUGCACCUUCCCUUUCUAAGAUUUAAAGUCCUUAACAUCUUGGUCCUAUUUACAUAAUAAAGCAAAUGAUGGUGAUUUUGUUCAGCCAUUUUAUC
This is a long non-coding RNA of Numida meleagris (helmeted guineafowl), 3060 nucleotides long. RefSeq lists it as uncharacterized. The record is from RefSeq and is a predicted model, not a curated record. Lineage: Eukaryota; Metazoa; Chordata; Aves; Galliformes; Numididae. The transcript has 3 exons.